AUUUACGGCCAUACGACACUGAAUGUGCCUGAUCUCGUCUGAUCUCAGUAGUCUUGCUGUUACUGAAAGUUUUGAGCCUUGAACU
RNAcentral lists this ribosomal RNA (85 nucleotides) under Carlito syrichta (Philippine tarsier). Lineage: Eukaryota; Metazoa; Chordata; Mammalia; Primates; Tarsiidae. The record is from RNAcentral.